This 45-nucleotide non-coding RNA is filed under the name Schistosoma mansoni. Lineage: Eukaryota; Metazoa; Platyhelminthes; Trematoda; Strigeidida; Schistosomatidae. The record is from RNAcentral.
AUUCAGUUGACGAGUCCCAAAUAGGACGAAGCGCGCGUCCUGGAU